UACGUAGGGGGCAAGCGUUGUCCGGAAUCAUUGGGCGUAAAGAGCGCGUAGGUGGCUAUGUAAGUCCGUUGUGAAAGUCAAAGGCUCAACCUUUGAAAGCCGAUGGAUACUGCAUAGCUAGAGUACGGAAGAGGCGAGUGGAAUUCCUGGUGUAGCGGUGGAAUGCGCAGAUAUCAGGAGGAAUACCGAUGGCGAAGGCAGCCAUCUGGCCUAACACUGACGCUGAGGUGCGAAAGCAUGGGGAGCAAACAGG
This 253-nucleotide ribosomal RNA is filed under the name uncultured bacterium. Its description in RNAcentral is "partial 16S ribosomal RNA". It matches the Rfam family "Bacterial small subunit ribosomal RNA", at positions 524 to 776 of the family's 1533-position model. The record is from RNAcentral.